UAGCAUCAAUUGCCUAGGGAAUAAGUGCCUGCAGAUGUUACACCUUGGUCCCCAGUAUGCUUGAAACAAACUGGAGACUGAUCAGUUUCUUACAGUAUCAGAAGACAGCAGCCCAGCUACAGCUAACCACACAAAGAGAUUGAAGAACACUGAGCUGCCAAGGAGUAGUGACCCAGCAAGAAUCAAGGUAGACUUAUCUGGGCCUGUCUGCAAGCCUUUUGCUCUGUCUUCCAUAGGAGAGAAGGAAUCUCUUCUGCCAACACAUUGUCUGUUUAAAUGGCUACUGCACAGAACCAAUCCACUUUACAAGACUCUUUAAAAUUUUUCCUUGUCAACAGUCCGUCCAAUCCAAAGUUCAUAAUUAGAGAUUUCCAGUCUGUGUUGUUUAAUUCUAUGAACUCUACUGCAUUCUUCUCUGCUUCCCCUUCAUCUGCUUGGCAACUGGGCAUUGGAAAAUUUAGUCUUUAAAAUAUGGAGCCAAGAAAGAAUGCCUACACAGGCACUCACAUCUGAACAGCCCCCUCUCCUCAUCAAACAAUACAAUAGCUGUUGAAUCCGCAAAUCCCGCUGCCACGGCCACUUGCAGCUGCACUGCAACUGUCGUCAGUAAUUCCCUACAGAACAGACCAAGAAGUAUUAAUGCAGUUCCAAUGGUUUGCAGUGUUCUAUUUGCAGUGCUUAUAUAAUCAAAAUCAAGUGUUGUCUUGUAGUAAUAUCACUCCCAAAGUCUCUAUCUUCUGAUAAGAGGUUAACUUAGGUGGCAAGAUGGUAUCAAUAGGAUUCUUGAAGCAUGCCCAGGCACAAAUAACUAAAGGCAUAUUUCAAAAAAAUUUGGUUACCAAACAGGAAAAACCUAGUAGAAUUAGCAUAAAAUAGGUAAAAACUGGAAAAUCACCAUGUUAAUUUGAGCAGGUCAUUCAAGUACAUGUGGUUUUGGCCUCUUAAAUAUUCAAUCACAAGUACAUUCUAUAUGAUUUUAAGCUACUACAGAAGUAUGAAAAAGAAAAUUAUGAGAAUGUCAACCAGUGUGGAAACUAAUUUCCUUAAGUAACUUCUCUCAAUAUCCUUUUCCUUUAAGACAAUACGGUUACAAGUUGCAACUUAAUUUUUGUCUCCGGACUUACCAUGUGAACGUACUUGAGUCUGAUUGUAACUCGACCCAACCAAGCAAGGGCCAUCCAUAGUUGAUACUAUUGACGCUGGUUGAUGGAAUUGAGUCCCAGGCUAGUCCAGCUUGACUAAUAGUCAAAUAUGCUCUCAAAGCGAACUUUCCUGAGAUUGAGAACAAACCUUGAAUCAUAAAAAGUUCAGGAAAAUAAAUCCGGAGAAUAUUUAAUAUAGUCAACAACCAACUCUUCUUCCUUCAUAAGAGGUGGUGAAUUAGCUCAUAAUAUAGAAGAGUAAAUUUUGUGAAGAUGGGGAAUAAGCUCAAAAUCAUAAUUUCUAUACAAAAUCAGAAAGUUCAAUGAGAGAAUUGCACUCAACUACUAAAAGAUAAUAACAACAUCAAAAUAAAAAACAGAAAAAAAAAAAGAACCGUAAAAGUCUUAUAGACAAGACAAUUUAAUUACAAUAUUCGUCGUGGGAAUUUUGUGGUAUAGACCUUCAUUUAGACUUGGACUUUUUAAUUUUCUUUAUGAAUAAACAAUUGGCUCCUGCUCAAAUGAAAAAUGAGAACCAAUGCUCAGAGUCACAGACAGAGGUGUAGGCAUGGCAAUGCCAAUUUUGCAAAUGAUCAUUUGGUCAUAGUCAAAACCUCAGAAAAGCCAAAACAAGAACAAUAUAACAUCAAAAUUGGGACAAAAACAUGUGUAGCAACUACAUAACAAAGAUUUGUGUCAAUCUGCUCACCUUUUAAAGGUGGUCCACUGGGUUAGUGCAAAAUAGACUAACUUUUUCUUUAUAGGGGCCCUCAAUCAGUGUUGGCUGCUGAACUAGAAGAGAGUUCAGAUAACUAAAAAAUUCUAUAAAUUCAAUACCAUAAAAUACCUCACAUAAAAAUGUUGCUUUUGGAAUUGUAGUUUUCCAAAUGUUCCCAAAUUUAAAAAUACAUUGGCAUAAAGUUAUUGAUGUUUACCUCAUAUUUUUUUCCAUGGUCAUAUCAAACAUUGUUCACAUAGUAAGUCUUCUAUGCUGAUCCUUGUUACUUAAUAUGAGACACAGAAAAGAAAAAGUAGUGAUCAAUUUAUUUUGAUAUCAAAGGGAGCAAAGCCAUAACAUGUAUAUUACAUAUGUAGCCAACUAAGUACAUAUUAUGAUGUGGGUAAGAUUCAAUACAUAUUUCAAUAACCAUGAAUUACCUAAAAAUGUAUCCACGUGUUCUUAUAGGGGAUAAACACACAAGUAGCUAGGAGUCAUCUCUGCCCAUUUCGAAAGGUAAAUUGAUGGUGUCAUGAAAAUAUGAUAACUGGCUUCUUUAAAAUAUGAAUUACCAUGGAUCAAUCUUUCUUUACUCUUCUUUACUUCAUUAGAAAAUUCUUUUUUUUUUAAAAAAAAAGAUAGGGCAGAGCAUGCUGCAUAACCAAAUUCCCAAUAAGAAGGCUAGAAAAUGAGUUAUGGAGACAUGCAACUAUAGAGAUUGUUAGAAAUUUUGAAACAUGAGUACUUGGCCAGCUACUUUAUGAAUUGGAACAUAACUUUUUUAAAGAAAAUAAGUCUAAGCAUAAAACAAAUUACCUGACGGUAUAUUGAUCACUAUUUUUGGAGUUGAGAGAGGGCAAUUUCAUAUAUACAAGAUCAUGGGAUUAUGUUCCCUCUAGAACUCAAUUUUGCUUGUCAAUAGCCCGUGUACCACAUUCCUCUCUGCUCCCCUUUCAUCUGCUUGGCAAUCGGGCAAUUGAAAAAAUUUCAUCUUUAAAAUCUAUAUCCAAGAAAGAAUACCCAUAUAGGCAACAAUUUGGACAACCUCCCCUCUUCAUCAAGCAAUACAAUGGUUGUUAAAUCCACAAAUCCCACUACCAUGACUACUGGUGUCUAUGCUGCAAAUGUCAUCAGAAAUUGCCUGCACGAUAGACCAAGAAGAAGCAUUUGUUUUUAAAACCAGAAGCUUCUAUAUAUAAGUAAAGCAUCUUAUAUAAAGAGUAUAGAUUUACCUUAUCUAUUUAAAAAUCACAUUUUCAAAAAUUUUAAAAUUUGAGAGAAUAAGAAUCUAUUUGGUGAAGUUUUUAAAAAUAAUUUUAUGUUUUUAAAAAUUGAAAACAGUUUUAAAAAAUUAAUAACACUGUUUGGUUAUUCUUCUCAAUUUCCUUUUUAAAAACAAAAUAAAAUAAAGAACAACUUUUAAAGAACAAGUAAAAGUUAUUUUUAUCCAUUUUUAAAAAUAAUAGAAAAACAUAUGCACUCUAUUAUUUCUCUUCUACAUAGAAUUAUUAUUUUUCAAUUUUUUUGGUUAAGUAAAUUAACUCCAAAUUAAACAAAAUUUAAUGUGUUGUAUUUGUUAACAAGUCUAUUAAUUUUUAAAAAUAAUUUAAAACUUAAAUAAUAAACUCAUUAAUACCAUAAAUUUAUUAAUAUAAUAAAAUAUCUUUUUUUCUAACAAAUAAUAAAAUAGUAUAAUUUCUACUAAAAAUAUAAUUUAUGAUUUUAUUAUAAUAUUACUAUUUAUGUUUUACUAAAAACUAUAUAUAUAUUUUAAUUUAUUUGUAAUUACAAAAUUAUUUUCAUUUUCAAUAAGAAUUCAAUUAAAUUUAAUUAAUUAAUAUUAUAUAAAUUGAAUUAAAAAUAUUUUUACAAAAUUAUAAUAAUUUAAAAGAAAAAAACAAUUGAUCCGAACAAGUUUUUUUUUUUUAAAUCCUUCUAUAAUAAUAACUUACCAAAUAUCCUUAAUUUUAUAAAACAUUAAAAAAAACCUUUUUUGAUUCUUUAACAUUAAAAAAGUUUCUAAAAAAAAACAUAAGAAAUCAUGUUCAAACAACAAAUUUUAAAAAAUUAAUCAAAGUAUUUAAUUGACUUGUAUUAAAAAUGAAUAUUAAAAUUAUUUUUAUAUUAUAGAAAUUUUUGUUUCACUAUAAUAAAAAUAUUGUUUCAUAAUUAAAAACAAAAUUAUUUAUCUUUAAUUAAUAUAUAAUUGUAUAUUUAAUUUUUAUUUUUUAAUAAGACUUAACAUGAAUUUGAUUUCAUAUUAUUAUAAAUUAAUUUUAUAAAAUAAAAGUAAUACAUUGUUUUUAAAAAAUAAUACAAAUUCUUUCAUCUUAUUGUUUUUUGUUUUUUAAAAAAUAUUUUUUAAAAUAUCUUGCCAAACAUUCUGGUUUUUUUAAAAAAAAUUUUGCCCUAAAUUUUUUUUGAUACCUUGAUUGUUUUAAACAGUUUUUAAAAUUAUUAAUUUUUCAAUGUAAGCCUUUAAGAGUUAAAAUACAAAAGUUACUGUCACUUAAUUUUAGGCUUAACAAUGUAGGAGAUUUAAGUGGAGGCAAGGAAUUAAGCAGAUAUAUUCUUGAGAUUAGAAAUUUGGGUGGAACAUCAAUUUUGUAAAGAAAUUAAGUUUAAGCACACAACAAUUACCUGCCCAUGUGUUGGUGCACUGCCACUCCCAUUAAAAUAGCACCCAAUCGAUCACUAUUUUUGGAAUGUGAGAUAUAUAACGCCAUUCUUGCCCUUUCUCGAAUUGGAGCCGUUGUUCCAGCAAAGGACACGAUCCGACAUCCAGAGAACAGAGGGAGUCUGGCAGUCUCUCUUUUGUCAAGUAUUGGAGCUUAGGGCAACGGACGAUACUUAAGGUUUCAAGAGUGGUGAGGUGGUGAAGACCCGCUUCUGUCAAGGAUUGGAGCCUUCUGCACGACCAGAUUUCUAAUUUCUUGAGAGAGAUAAGGCGUUGAAGAACAGAUCCUGUCGAGAAUUGGAGCUCAGGGCAGUUCUCGAUCCAUAAUUCUCGAAGAGAGGUGAGUUGUUGAAGCCCCUUGUUGUCAAGAGACUUGAGAUUUGGAAGACCCCAGAUUGAAAGAUGAGUUAGAGAAGAGGGCAGCAGACACUCCUUGGGAAAUAAUUCCACGCCUUCACAUCCACCUCCGAUUGUGAAAUGAGUAAGAGAGGUCAGUCUUUGCAAAUCCCAGUCCACCUGUGACGUGAGUUGGUUGCAGCGCCAUAUUGCAAGUUCCCGUAGGUUGGAAGGCAAACCCUCCCUGUGCAACAACAAUUCUGGACAAUCCGCUAAACACAGUUUCUGCAGAGAUGAAUGGGUGUGCGCCAGCAAUUUGAGAUUGGAGCAAUUCCAAAUAUCAUGGUACAUCGAGUCAAGAGCAGGCAGUUGGAUGUAUACAAGAUUAAGGCACCGAUGGAUCUUCAAAUUACGAAGAGAUGUGGGAUCCCCCUCUGAAAUCGAGAUGCAGAGCUCCUCAAGCCCCUUAAGACCAUUUAUUUCGAAAUCAGUCAACCUGGGGAAGAUGUCCAAUACUGAGAAGGACAACAAGAGAGAAUCACAGGUACCGCCAUUGAUUGAUAGAUUUUCGAGAACCGGGUGAUGGCAUCUGAACAACUUAGGUAGAAGAAGGUCCAAUUUGGUACAAUCAGAGAUUGAUAACGAUUUCAAUGUAGUGGGUAAGCCAACUUUGUUUGGGGAUCUGUAAAAAGAGCAAUCACAAAUUUCCAAACUGUACAUGUUGGUUUGCAGGAUUUCCUCCUCUAGUAGAGACUCCACAUAAUCACAUUUUCUAAUGUAGAGAUAGUGGGGUACCAGUGGAAGUUGCUUCAACUGAGAGACGUCUGAAAUUUCAAUUUUUGAAGUUUGACUAGCUGUGAACCCACAAGUUUGCCUUUUCAACUGCAAUUCACGGGCAGCAAGAACGUUGAGUGUAGGCACAAGCAGCUGUGGGCAAUUUCGAAGGUUAAGUUCCUUCAAUAAAGGAAGGUGCAUUGGUAAUUCCCCAGUGAGUUUUGGACAGUUACUUAUAGAAAGCUCCUGGAAACGAGGGAAUUCUCCAUGUUUGCCUCCACAACAUAACCAUUUCUCCCAAUUGGACAUAGAGGAAAAUGAUAGAGUUUGCAGGGAUGGGAAGGAGGGAUGAAGCGAGGAAGAAGAAUUCCCAUAAAACUCACUACCCACCCUCACUACUCCAUUCAUUCCAAAGAUCUUUAUAUGUUCAAGACAAGGUAGCUGCCCCAGUGGCGGCAAUGUUGAGCAAUUCCUACAAUUCGAAAGCUGAAGGGAUACGAGAUUUGAAAAUGAUCCGUCUCCAAGCCAAUCUGGAAAUGUUAGACCAGGAUACCCUCCAAUGGACAACUUUUUUAAAUUUGGAUGAGGUGUUAGCCUGUUGAGAAUAUCAUCUUGUAUAGCAUCAUGACUAAUCCCCCGACUCCAAUUCAAGGAUAACUCAUCAAGGUAUUUCUUAUCCUUCAUUUUCGCCUGCAAUGCAUCCUCAACACCCACCACAUUCUCCAUUUUUGAAAUUUCAAGUCUUCCUCGAAUCUCUGAAAGCUUCCACAAUUCUCCAAAUCUGAAUCCACUUUCUUUGCCCACAGUAAAAUUAGAUAAUUUCUGCAAACUUUUUAAUUGACCUAUAUCAUUUGGCAUUUCUUCCAAUGAAUUAGACCCACUAAUAUCAAGAUAGCGCAAAUUAAUCAACUUCCCCAUUUUUGAAGGCAAUUCAAGAAGAGAAUCACAAUUACUCAGCAUCAUCGUUUGCAAAUUGCACAAACAACAUAUUGAUUCAGGUAAUCUUUUAAUCCAUGUUGUAGAGAGAUCCAAGUAACGCAACUGUUUUAAAUUGUGUAUUGAAUCAGGCACAUCUCUUAUGCAGUAUGCACGCAAUGACAACACCCGCAAAGAUUUAAAUUUUGGUAAUAUAUUGUGUAAAACUCUUGUACUCAACAAAUAAGGAGGCCAUGAUGUCUUCACCUCUAAGAUUGUUCUGAGAUGUUUGGCUUCACCAACAGGCUCAAAAGUUUCAAACACAGCUCCCCGGUCAUCGUCACUUUCAAAGUGGAAAAAAUGGCGAGCCUUAUCAGAUAUUUUUGGCAGCUUACAAUCUUCCAAUCGAAUGCAAAAUUCUUGGGAGAUAUGUUGAGCCAAGUCAUGUAUCAGAUCAUGCAUUACAAAGCAUGAUUUUUCUCCUCUAAUACAUUUUUGAAAAAACGACUUUGCUAAAAGUUCAUUUAAAUAUGAAUCACCUACCUCUUCCAUUCUUCUGUUACUUUGUCCUGAGUGUAAAAACCCUUCUGCCAUCCAUAAUAGAAUCAGCUUCUCUUUGUGGAAUUCAUAGUCCUUGGGAAAAUUUGAACAGUAAGCAAAACAACGCUUCACAGGAGGAGAGAGAUGCUGAUAACUCAAUCUAAGAGACGGAAGAAUUUCAUGAUCAGUUUGGGAAUGCCACGUUUCGCUAUUCAAAAUAUCUUCCCAUUCUCCUUUUUCGGCCUUGUAGUACAAGAGGCUCCCGAGUGCUUUAACAGCCAAAGGCAAUCCUUGGCACUUGUCCACAAUCUUUCUUCCUAUGGGCUCAAGCUGUGGAUAAGCGCUGGAGUCUCCAUUUGGAAAUGCAAGUUUUGUAAAUAUGGACCAACUAUCUUCAGGGCUUAAUGUCCCCAAAUGAUGAGUAGGGACUGCUCGCAUGAUUUUUGCAGCAGUUUCACUGCGACUAGUCACAACAAUCUUGCUUCCCUCUGCUGCAGUGAGGAGUGGAUUUCGUAGGCCUACCCAAUCAUCAGACUUCAUAUCCCAGACGUCGUCCAGAACAAGAAGAAAUUUCUUGUUACCUACUCUCUCUUUGAGUUUAAGCUGAAGCAAAUUUAGGGUGUCAUCAGGUUUAGUUUCAGAACCGAUUUCCUUGAGAAUUGAUUUUGUCACCUCCUCGAUGAGAAAAAUCUGAGUGGAAACACAGACCCAUGCUUUCAAGUGGAAGUGUUGCUUGACCGUGUCAUGGUUAUAGAGAAGCUGAGCGAGUGUGGUCUUGCCGUUGCCGCCGAUGCCCACUAUGGACAUCACAUCUAUGUUGUUGCCUGUUGCAUUUUCCUUAUCAGAAAGCAACCACUUCACCAUCUCCUCUUUGAUUCCAUCCCUGCCCACCACAGAGGACUCAUCCACCAAAGAAGUGGUUGGUGGCCUUGGUGACAGUUUAUCGCCCUCACCUUCUUUCAGCCCAAGCUUCUCUUUUUCUUCAGCAAUAUCUUCAAGCUUAGCAAUCAUCUCCUUCACCCUGGACUCCAUGCUUUGAUUGGCAAAUGGAGCCUUAACCCUGGUAGAGAACUUGUUCCACACCUGAUAAAUUCCACCAGGUUGGGAGUCAGCAGCUUCAAUCUCGCACCGCAAGGCUUCGGUAGCGAUCUCGUCCAACAGGUCCUCCGCAUGAUACACAGCAUCCUUAACCUGGACCAGCCAGUCUUUGACUAGUGGGUCUGAAAAUUGCUUCAUCUCCGCAUCAUUGAGCGCUUUGUGGACAACCAGCAAUUUCCUCUUCAAUUUGUUGAGGAGUUCAUGGCUAAGCUUCUGUCCCCGGAUGAAGUUCAUCAACUCCGGAGAAGUCAACCUGUCGAAUAGAACUUGAAGUGAAGCGGAUAGGAGUGCGUCGGCCAUAUCUGUUGACUGUUGCUUUGCAAAUCAAAGGAACUCAGCGAUUCAGUUCAGGAAAAAACGAAGGUAAAGCAGAUGCAGAAUCACACCACCAAACUGUAGUGGACUGGUUUGAACACGAGAUCCAAAAAUAAUGGAAAAAUAAAGAAGGCCACAGAGAGGCACAUGGGGCUGCACCAAACACCAAGGGAUGCACAUGGUCUGUCACCCUCGAGCAUAAAACUCAUGUUAUGUUUAUUAAUGACUCUUAUCUUUUUCAAAUCCAUAUAUAAUUUUAUCUAUAACUUCAUGCAUGUUUUUUUCAAUUGUUAGUAUUGAUUUUUUAUUUUUUUGUUUUUAAUAUAUUGGUGAAUCAAUUGGUGGAGUUGGGGCAGAUCUUUUGACAUUGAUCUAGGUCUUCAAUUUUUUCUAGAUUUGCUCUUUAGAAUAUUGUAUUUUAUUUACCAUUGCAAAAUAAUUAUUCAAGCUCUUAACUUGAAAAUAUUAAAAUUAUUUUUAACAAUUAGCAUUUUUGUUAAAAAAAAUAACUCGGUAGUUUAUGAAUUAAAGUAUGAAAAUUGUCAUUUUCUAUGUUUUCAUAAUGAUGUAAUUGUGAAACUCCUAACCCCCCAAAAAAAAAAAAAAGGAGAAAAGAAAUUUCACCUUAAUUGGCUUUUGUCAAAGGCAUAUAUACCUUUUACUCGCAUUAGUUCUAUACCUACUUGGAUAUCCUUGGUUUUGUACAACCGAUAAUGAAUUUCAUUCAAUUUGAUCGAUUUUGUAGUUCUUUAGUCGAUUUUAAUCAUAAUAAAAGAUUGUCUAUAUUUGAAUGUUUAUGUAAAUUCAACUGAAUUAAGAAUUUUUAUAUGACAAAAAUAAAUCUUAAUUAAAUAACCUUAUUAUUGCCUUCUCUAGCUAUAGCAGUCAUAAAACUUCUCAUAAUUACAUCAUCACCACCUUCACUUUCCAAUCUUGAAGCCACCUUGCAAGAUUCCUUAACAACAUCAUUAUUCAAUUCAAAAAAAUUUCACAUAAAUUAAAUAUAUAAAAAAAAAAAAUCAUUUUUCUCAAUUUUUAUUUUUUUUCUUUUCUGAGCAUUUGUCAAGCAAAUAAAAAAUAGGCUAAAUAACUUGAAAAUAAAUUGAAUAAUAAACCAAAGGAUGGAUUGGUAAGAUUAUUUAGUAUUGUUUAAUCAUAAUAAACAAAAGAGCAUUGCAAAGAUUAUUAUAAGAUGCCUACUUAAAUCAAUAAUAUCCUCCUCACUUCCUUCCAUAUACACGAGAUUCAAAAAAUAAAAAAAUAGAAUAAGCCAUGCGCAUGAGAUUCAUUUAGUUUUAUCGAGAGAGUUGUGCCUCUCAUGUACACACACACGCCAGAUUAAAUUGAAAGAUGAAAUAAGUCAUAGAAGGCUCAUGGGGCUGCUUAAAGCCUCACAGAGAGAGAGAGAGAGAGAGAGAGAGAGAGAGAGAGAGAGAGAGAGAGAGAGAGAGAGAGAGAGAGAGAGAGAGAGAGAGAGAGAGAGAGAGAGAGAGAGAGAGAGAGAGAGAGAGAGAGAGAUGGUUUUUUUUCUUUUCUUUACUUUUGUGAAAAAACAAUCAUUUAUGCUAUGUUUGGUUGGUUCAUAGAAAGUUUGAAGGAAGAUCGUAAGACAAAAAAAAAAAAAAAAAAACAUUGCAAAGAAAAAAAAUGAUUUAAAAUUAAUAAAUUCAUUUUACAUAUAUAUUAAUUCUUUGAUAUAAGAUUAAAUAAUUUAAAAAUAUAUAAUUUUCUUAAUCAUUUUAAUUACAUUUGACUUUUUUUCAUAUAUUUUUUUCCAUAUUUUAUAUGAUAUAAUAAAAAAUGAUAAAAUCAUUUUUCUUAACAUUUUCUUCUUUUCUUGAUAAUUUUCAGGAACUAAAUAUAAAUUUAUAUUAAAAGUAAUCCUUUAUAUUAAAGUCAUACUUGGUUCUCAUAAAGUGUUCCAAAAAAAAAUGUUAAAAAAAAAUUAAUUUUCUCCUGUUUGAUUUUACUAUUAAGAAUAUGAAAGAAAGUCAAAUAUAAUUAAAAUUAGUAAAAAAAUUUAUAUAUUUUCAAGUUAUUUAAUUUUUAUAUAAAAGAGUUAAAUAAGUAAAAUGAGUUUAAAAUAUGAUAUAAAAACAAUUUAUUGACUUUUCACAUCUAAUUAUCUUAUCCUUCAUUUGUAAUACUAGAAGUAUCAAAGAAAUGAAAAAAAGGAAACCUACAUGAGAAUUUAAAAUCAUAUGUUUGAAUGAGAGUGAAAUCUCAAAUACUAAAUUACAUAUAUUUUUAUUAAUGAAGAAAAAUGAGAAAUAAUAUUUUUUUUAAAAAGGAUCUAAAUUUUUUCCCUUUACUUUUUUUACAUGUCACAAACAUGGUUCUCUUAGUUUCUAAUCUUUCCUAAUUCAUCAAAGAAUAAAUCCCCAUAGUCAAUGACACAAGUACUGCAGACAUGGCAAUGAGAAUUCUGCUAAUGAGAAGCUAGCACCAAAAGAUUUAGGUCUUCUCUUAUGACCCAUAACCAUGACAUUCAUCUCAAUGAUCAUCUCUAUGAAGACAAAAAUUCCUCGUCACAAUACCUAAGAAAUGCCAAAACAGGAACAAAACUUCCUACCAAACUUCAAGCCCAUCUGCCUACCUUUAAAAGGUGGUCCACUGGGUCAAUGCAAAAUAGACCAGCUUUUAUUACAGAGACUCCCAAUCAAUGAAUGCAGGCUGCUAAACCAAAAUAUAAAACAAUAAGAUGUUUUUAGGUUAUUGAGAACAUGAACCAAAACAAAGAAAACUUUUUUGUUUUAGUGAAAAAUAAGACAUUGAAAGGAUAUGCAGUCAUAAAACUUGCAAUUUUGUAUAUUGCAGAGUUAAAUCUCCACUUUUAAUACACUGGAAAGGGAAUAGCAGCAAGAAAAGACCAAAGCAAUUAAAAUUUCUUACUGCCAAAGCACAAUACAUCCCUACUUUACUCCAUGCUUGUAUAAGAGAACAUAGACCCAGAAAGUGACAAAAACCUAAGCAUCCAUGGUUUUCCAUAGUUAUCAAGUGGUUCACUUGGUUUAGGCAUACUGCCAAAUAAAAACAGAGCAUGACCUUGCCAGUACCAUUAGAAUAUGGCAACUAUCUGCAUCCAAAAUGUGAGCACUUAGGUUCAAUCCUCCUCGACUCCUCUUCAAUAUUUGUUUCAAACUUGAAGCUUCACGAAAAAAGAAAAUCCCUAACACACCUGCCAUCGUUAAAAAAAUUAGCAUCAACAAGCAGACAUAAGAUUCCUUGCACCUAACAUUGACAUGGACUCAAAUUAUCCAAAACUAACCUAAAUUCAUGGAGAUGAAUGCCAAUCAAGCAAAGCACGUGCCUGUGUGAUGUUUGGUCAGUCAUCUGGAGAAGCUUGGAGCACGCCCAUGAUUAGAUCUGUCACAUGAGCUGUAUUUUGGUAAUUCUGGAAUGCGGUAUUUUCUAUUUAAGAUAAUAGAUGGUGAGAAACAUAUAGUCAGAUGAAUAAUAAAACACAUACUCUAGUAUUCUACUGAUUGAUUCACCCAUUCACUAAUCAUUAAAAAGUCUAGAAAUAUAGAAGCUUAAAUUUUCGAAUUUAUGGACAUAGUAAAUAAGCUCAUAAUCAUCAUUUCUAUACAAAAUCAGGAAGUUCAAUGAGGAAGUUGCACUCAACCGCCUUAAGAUAAUAAGGACAUCAGAAUAGAAAACAAAGCUACAAAAAGUCUUAAAGCCAAGAUCAAUUUAAUUAUAGUAUUCUUCUUGGGAGUUGCAUGGUAUAAACCUUCGUUAAGACAUGGACUCUAAUUUUCUUUUCAAAGAAACAGCUAACAUCCUGAUCGGAUAAACAAUGAGAGCCAAUGCCCAGGGCCACUAACAGGAAUGUAGGCAUGGAAACAACAAUUCUGCUAAUGAGAAGCAGCACAAGAAGACCGUCACCUUCAGGAUCCAUGUCAUUGAUCCAAAUGAUCAACUCAGCAACAGUUAAAAAAAAAAAAAGUAUACAAAAAUUCAUAGUCACAGUCGAGAUCUAAGAAAUGCCCAUAAAAGAACAUAACCACAUCAAAAUUAGGACAAAACAAGUACAACUACCUAAUAAUAAAAAAAUUGACCAAAAUACUUCAUGUAAACAAAUAAAAAAAGUUGACCAAUUCAGUAUCAUAAAAUACUUCAUAUAAAAUUUUUGCUUUUAAAAUCGUAGUUUGCUAAAUGAUCCUAGUUGGUUGAUAUGGAACACAUGGAGAAGAAAAGAAAAAACAAAAAGUAUUGAGUAAUUUAGUUUGAUAAAAAUUAAAAAGAAAAUGGAAAUUUAUUCGGAGAAGUAGCAUCAAUUACCCAUGGAAUAAGUGCCUGCAGAUGUCUCCCAAAGAAUCUUAAUUCAUUCGUAAAGCUACAAUAUUGACUACAAACUAACCAAAAAGAUCAAAAACUUUAAAUUCAUGCAAAUUAAUUUAUAAUAAAACAAAAAGAAGAGAAAUUCAUUCUCAUAUACAAAUUCUAAAAGGAAGAGUGACAAGAAAAGAUUAACUAAUAAAAACUCCAAAGGGGUGUGGUGGUAUAGAAACUUCGACCUUCCUCAUUGUUGGCCUAAUUACAGCCUCAAAGAUGAUUAAAGAGCCAUUGCUCAUGUGAUUAAAAUAUGAUAACUAGCUUUGUUAAAAUGUGAAUUACCAAGAAUCAAUCUUCCUUUACUCAUCUAGAGAUGCGUAAAUUCUAGAGAUUGUCAGAAAUUCUGAAAAGUACUUGACAGCUACUUUAUGAAUUGGAACAUAAAGUUUCUGAAUAAAAUAAGCAUAGAAUUAAUUACCUGACUGUAUAUUGGUGCGGUACCACUUUCAUUAAAAUAUCACACCAUUGAUCACUAUUUUUGGAGGUGAGAGCAAGCAAUUGCAUAUAUAUGAGAUCAGGGUACCCUCUGAUUUGCAAGUAACGUCAAUAGCCUGUCCGAUAUGAAGUUCAUAAUUAUAUGAACUCUAUUGCAUUCUCUGCUUCCCCUUCAUCAGCUUGGCAACUAGGCAUUUGAAAAAAUUUGGUCUUUAAAAUCUGGAUCCAAGAAAGAAUAACCAUACAGGCACACACACCUGGACAGCCUCCCCUCUUCAUCAAACAAUUCAAUAGCUGUUAAAUCCAUGGCCGCUGGUGCCUAUGCUGCACAUGUCAUCAGGAAUUGCCUGCACAACAGACCAAGAAGAAGCAUUUGAGUGCUUAUAUGAUCUAGCAGCUCCAUCAGAAUCAAGUGUUGCCCUGUAGUAAUAGUCACUCCUUAAGUCUCUUAUGCUUAAGUCUCUCCCCAUGUGCAGGUAGGUAUCUGGGUCUGAUUGUUACUCAACCCAACCAAGCAUGGGCAUCCAUACUUGAUACUUUUCAGGUUGGUCAAAUUGAAAUGAGUUACAUAUAAUGCUCAUCUCCCGUAUCGUUUUUGAAGCUAGUUCGGCUAGACUAAUAGACAAAUAAGCCCUCAAAAUAAACUUGCCCAGGUUGAGAACAGACCUUAUAUUGAGAUAGUCCACAACCAACUCUGCUCUUAAUAUAUAAGAAAUAAUGAAAAAUAAAUAGUCAAACAAAUAAUAAAAUGCAUAACCUAAUAUCCUAUUGAUUGAUUCACCCAGUUUUUAACCAUUAGAAAGUCUGGAAAUAUAGAAGAGUGACUUUUCGAAUUCAUGAGGAUGGUGAAUAAGCUUAGAAUCAUCAUUUCUACACAAAGUCAGUUGGUUCGAUGAGGGAAUUACACUCUUAACUACUUUAAGAUAAUACAACAACAUCAAAAAUAGAAAAUUGAACUACAAAAGGUCUUAAAUUAAGAUCAAUUUAGACAUAAUAUACUUCUUGGGAGUUUCACGGUAUAAACCUUUGUAAAGAAUUAGACUCUCCUUCUUUAAGACUAUGGACCCAAGACUCAUACUCACUGAUAGAAGUGCAGGCAUGCCAAUGAGAAUUCUGCUAAUGAGAACCUAGCAUAAGAAUAUUAAUGUCUUCUCCUGUGAUCCAGAACUAUAGUCCGAAAUGGGAUCCAUGACAUUGAUGUCAAUGAUCAUCUCCAUGACAACAGAAAAUAUACAGAAAUUCCUAGUCAUAGUCAAGACCUAAGAAAAGCCAAAACAAGAACAACGAAACAUUAAAAUUGGGACAAAAACAAGUGCAUAAGCUUCCUAAUGAACAUUUAAGUCUAUUAGCUUACCUUUAAAAAGUGGACCACUUAGUUAGCACGCAAUAGACCAGCUUUUGUUACGACUCCCAAUCAAUGCAGGUUGCUAUUAUCAUAACCGAACUUUGUUCCUCAUAAGCAGUCUUUUAUGCUGAUACUGGUAACUUAAUAUGGAACAUGUACAAAAAAGAAAAGAAAUAACAAAAAGUAGUAAUUAAUUUCGUUUGAUAUUGAAUGGAGUAAAGUCACAACAUGUGCAUAUGCAAGUAUAUUAUCCUAAAAACCACUUGCAAAAGGCACCAAGUACCCAACUAAUAUCAGACUUGAAUAACCAUGAAUUACCUAAAACUGUAUCCACAUGUUCCUGCAUGAGAUAGAUACACAGAUAGUUUCAACUUUGCUCAUUUGGAAAGAUCAAUUAAAGCUACAAUGCAAAUUACCUGGGAUGAAUUUUCCUUUGUUGGAGAACUUCUCAAAUCAAACAAAUAGAGUUUGUUGCUUGCUCAAAUCUUCAACAACUGGACCAGCCAAAGACUUGUGUAGAUGUACAAUUCCUAAAGAGUGUUGAGCAUAUUAGGAGCCUUUGAAUUCUGAAAGGAGGUCAAGACCUUAACAAUGUAGAAGGUUUAAGUAAUUCUGUUAUCAAACAUGGUAAAAUUGAUUAAACAAAACCUUGAACAGUGAGGUAUUUUCUUCUAAAAAAGAUGAGUCCACCAUUGUGUGGACUAUUGAGAAUAUAAAAAAUACGACAUCAGAAUUAUAAGUAACUAAAAUUACCUACCAAUAAGCAGCUAGCUAGAAUAAAUCCAUGGUUUUCUCCAUGCCUGUAUUAGAGAAAUGACAAAGAAAGUGAGGAAAAAAAAUCAAAGCAUUCAUGUUUUUCGACAGUAAUUAAGUGGUUCACUUGGGUUAUGCAUACUGCCAAAGCAUGAAAAUAUGAGUACCAUUAAAAUAUGAUCUGAACUGUCUGUGUCAAAAUGUCAGCACCUAGGUUGAAUCCUCAUCUACGGCUUUUCAAUAACAUUUGUCCUAGGGUUGAAGCUUCAAGAAGAAGAAAUCUUAAAUCAAAUAAAUGGAGCUAAGGAAUUAUGCAGAUAUAUUCUUGAGAUUAGAAAUUUGGAUGGCUACAUCAGGAAUUGGAACAUAAAUUUUCUAACAAAAUAAGUUCAAGCACAAAGCAAUUACCUGCCGAUAUGUUGGUGCAGUGCCAUUUUCAUUAAAAUAGCACAUCAUCGAUCACUAUUUUUGGAAUGUGAGAUAUAAAACGCCAUUCUUGCCCUUUCUCAAAUUGGCACUGUUGUUCCAGUGAAGGACACUUGAGGACAUACAGAUAAGAGAGGGAGUUUGGCCGUCUCUCUUUUGUCAAGUAUUGGAGCUUAGGGCACUUGUAGAGAUCUAAGGUUUCAAGAGUGGUGAGGUGGUGAAGACCCGCUUAAUAAAAAUUAAUAAAAUAAAUGAAUUUAUUAUAUCUGGAAUAUGUAUAUAUGUCUUAUCUUAGGAUUAAUAUAUAUUAAAUAUCCAUUAAUAGAAAACCCAUUUUUUCUCUUUCCACAAUCUAAUCCUAAUACGAAAAAUCUUGAAAUAUUAUUGGUUUUCUAGCUUUCUUUUAAUUUCUCUAAAAUUUUUCAUUAAGUAAAUAAAUUUGGAAUCAAACUAUACCUCAUAGGUAAAAUUUAUUAAUUUUUAAAAUUAAUUUCAAACUCAAAAACCAAUUUAAUUAGUACUAAAAAGUCAAAAACACAAUAAUAUUAUAAAUUCAUAGGUCAAAAUUUAUUUAAAAUAACUUGGUUAGCUUCUUCUUCACAUAUAACCUAUUUUUAUAAAUUUUUUUCAUGAAGCAAAUAAACUUCAAAUUAAUCGAGACUUGAUGUGUUGAAUUCAUUAAUGAGUUUAAUAAUUUUUAAAAAUAAUUUAAAACUUAAAUAAUUAUGUAAUUAAUACCAUCAAUUUAUAAAUAAAAAUUGGUUUCAAAUGACUCUAUUUUUUUUUAUUUUCUAUGUAAAAUUAUUAUUUUCUUAUUUUUUUGUUUCUAUUAUGCAAAUGGACUCCAAAUUAAACAAGACUUAAUGUCAUAUUUUUAUCAAUGAGUCUAGUAAUUUUUAAAAAUAACUUAAAACUUAAAUAGUGAACCAAUUACUAUUAAAAAUUUAUGGACAAAAAUUGAUUUAGAAUAAUUUUAUUUAUUCUUUUUCUUUACAUAAUCAUUAUUGUCCGAUUUUUUAAACAAAUAAACUUUAAAUUAAACAAGACUUAAUACAUCGGAUUCAUUAAUAAGUUUAAAAAAUUUUAAAAAUAAUUUAAAAUUCAUAUAAUAAACUCAUUAAUAUAAGAAAUUUAUGAAUUAAAAAUGAUUCAUAAUGACUAUUAUUUGUAUUUUUGGUUUUAUUUUAAAAAUAAUUUUUUAAAAAUAAGCGUUAGAAGACAUGUUCAAACGGACCCUUAGCUUUUAAAAAACAAUGCAAUUAUGCAUUUUACAAUCUUUUCUAAAGGUAAUUACAAAUUGUUUUAGUUGUUUUUCCACCUUUCAACCCAAAAAAUUGUUGAAAAUAUAAAUAAAAAAAAAUAUUGUGAUAUUCAACUAUUUCACUUGAAGUUACCCAAAUAUGAAAAUAAGGAUUGAAGGGUGCAAUCAUGCAACCCAAUGGCAUUGAUUUAACAUAGGUUUUGUCCAAUUUACAACCAUAUAUAUUAGUGCAAUCACUAAUAAAAACUCAUUUUAAUGAUCAAGAUAAGUCAUUCUUCUAAUUAUGAGGUAGUAUGCUACAAUUUUAGAUUGAUUGUUCAAGUUUAUGAAUUGGUUGUAAACAAUCCAUCAACUUACAAUAAACUUAUGACUUGGAUCUUUCGUAUAACUUUUUAUACACUAAAAUCUUAUACAAUGCAAGUGAUGUAAACCCGAGUGUUCAAAUAAAUAUUAAUGUAAAUAAUGGCAGAAUAAUGGAAAUAGAAAUCAUAAUAUUAUAUAUAUAUUUAUGAAAUUUCACUUAGUUAAAUCAUGUUAUAUUUUUAAAGGCUUUGAUUUUUUUAAUUGGAUCUUGGGCUUUUAGGAUUUGAUCUUGGGUUUUAGUUGUUUCAUUCGAUGUUAGGCAUUUAUAAUUUUAUUUGGGAACAAUUCAUUUGAUCGAGGCUUCAAUUUUUUGAUGUGGGCUAUAGGCUGUGAUUAUUUCGGGCUUUGGGUUUUUGUGAUUUGGGCUAGUUUUGAUCAUUUAAUUUGUUGUUUUGGGCUUUGGUUUGGAUUGAUAUUUGAUUAGGCUUUGGGUAUUGGAUUUGUUGUUUCUUAAUUUGGAAAUAAUAUUUGACAUUGGCUUUUGGGCUUCGCUUUUAAUAUGUAGUUUUGACCUUGGUUAAUUCCUAUUUGAGCCCCUGGUCGGAUUAUUUCAUUUUGGCCUAUUGAUUUGUUGACUUGGACUUUGUGUUUGUGCUUGUUUGUGAUUUAGGCUUGGUCUAUUGUUCUGGGGUUUUAGUUUGAUUGUGGGCAUUUGUGUAUUACUUUGGGCUUGGCCUUUAUAAUUGUUUUGAAUUUAUUUAUGGUAUGGGCUUGGUUGUUUGAUUUUGACCUUCUAUAUACUCUAUUUGACCUGGGCUUAGGGCUUUCAUUUAGUUUAUUUGAGCUUGGUUAAUUUGAUUUGGAUUUGGGCCUGUUAUAACUUGUAAACUAUUUAGGCUUGCUUUUCUUUUAUUGAACAGAAUCAACAAAAGUAAGGUGUAUAUUUUUUUAAACAAGCAGAAUACGCGCAUUCAAAGUUUUGAAAAAUAGUUUUGAAAAAUUAAUUUUAAUCUUUUUUAUGUAUAUAAAUAUUUUCCAAAAAUAACUUUAUGAUAUAUAUUUCUUCAAGCAAUCAUAAACGAAAAAAAAAAAAAACAAAUGAAAAUAACCGAAAACAACUCAUAUAUUUUUUCAAAAAACACCUAAACCGGCUUGCUUUUUUUUUUUUUUUUUUAUCAAACAGUUUUCCUAUUUUCUUGUUCUUAAAUAUAGAUAAACAAAAGUGGUUCAUUGUGACCCUAUCAUUUGUCUUUUGUUUUUUAAUUUUAAAAUAGGUUUUAAAAACAAGUAGAAAAAUAUGAUGAAACGAACCCUUAUCUUUUAAAAAAUAAGGCAAUUCAAAAUACAUUUUAAAAGGCAAAUUAUAAAUUUCUUUAGUUGUUUUCUCAUCUUUGAAUCGAGAAAAUUUGUUUGUACGAUCUUUCCAUCUAAUUAGUCCCUUGAAAUAUUUGUCCCCUUUUUCAGUAUUAUCAAUAUAUUUAUGACUAUUUGAAUGAAAAUAUAAGAAAAUAUCAUAAAUAUUCUCAUGAAACUCCUUGAUAGCAAUUAUUUCACUUAUCAGUGAAAAUAAAGUUACCCAAAUAUAAAAAAGGAUCGAAGGAUGCAACCCAAUGGCAUUCAUCGAGAUGGCAAAGUUUGAUACAAUUUGCAAAUACUUCUAUAUAUACUCAUCUUAUCUUAUAUUUCAUUGAAUAUAAGAUAAGAUAAAUUAAUGGAUAUUUAUCAUAUAGUAUCCCUACCAAAAAUGUCCCCUCCUUUAUUUGAACUCAUGGUAGGUGAAAGAAUGUAUUUUCGUGCAAAUGAUAACAAGGCAAUGAUUCGAGAUCAUGAAUAGAAAGAAAUUCCAAAAGCGCUACACAGUAACCUUCCUCAUGGUUGGCCUUAGAGCUGAAUCCUCCUGAAUGCACCAAAUGGACACCAUCACUAGCCUCUCCAACCUCUUCAUAUCAUUCAUAAUUUGCAUCCUCAUCAUCUUCCACCAACUUCUCCAACUUCCUUUGCACAAACAGUUCAUAAUCUCGAUCCAUUAGAGCUUCCUCUCCGUCUUCCAUAUGAAAGAGGAAAUCUUCUUCUAACACAUUGUCUCUAUAAAUGGCUACUUUGCAUAAGCAAUCCUCUUUACAUGACUCUUUAUACUUCUCCUGCUCAACCAAUUUGUGUUGUUUAAUUCUUUCAACUCCACUUCAUCCUUCGCUUUCUUCACUUUCUUCGCUUCAUCUUCAUCUGCUUGGCAACUCCACUUCACUCUCACUCUCAAGAACAAAGUUACCGAGCAUGGCAGCAUGAGUAACCCCUUUAACAGCCGACUAAGUUCUCCAAAGCUCAUAUCCUCAUUUGUCAGCGAGUUUGAACUCCCCAUUUUUGGUGAGUUCAAUUUUUGUACCCUUCUGCCACUUCUUUAUCUGCAUACCAAAUUAUUGUUUGGUAAUUCAUGUUCGCUAAUUGCAUAUAGAACAUAAUUAGCCCUUUUAAAAAUAAUAAUUAAUAUGAUCAAUCAUCUUCUAAGAUGGCAUGUUACAUAAAAGGUAACAAGAUUAUGCUACUUUUUAAAAUUUUUCCUUAGGGUGUCAAUGUCAUAAUGUGGGUACAAACUGACAGUAUAGGAACAAGUACAUUGAUAAAAAUUAAAAGAGAAAAAUUCGAAAUUUAUUCAGAGAAGUAGCAUCAAUUGCCUAGGGAAUAAGUGCCUGCAGAUGUUACUCCUUAGUCCCCAGUAUGCUUGAAACAAACUGGAGACUGAUCAGUUUCUUACAGUAUCAGAAGACGGCAGCCUAGCUAUAGCUAACCACACAAAGAGAUUGAAGAACACUGAGCUGCCAAGUAGUAGUGACCCAACAAGAAUCAAGGUAGACUUAUCUGGGCCUGUCUGCAAGCCUUUUGCUCUGUUUUCCACAGGAAAGAAGGAAUCUCUUC
This 20289-nucleotide long non-coding RNA is filed under the name Vitis vinifera (wine grape). RNAcentral's name for it is "long non-coding RNA (VVIN_LNC004398)". Lineage: Eukaryota; Viridiplantae; Streptophyta; Magnoliopsida; Vitales; Vitaceae. The record is from RNAcentral.